UACGUAGGGUCCGAGCGUUGUCCGGAAUUAUUGGGCGUAAAGGGCUCGUAGGCGGUUUGUCGCGUCGGGAGUGAAAACACCAGGCUUAACUUGGUGCUUGCUUUCGAUACGGGCAGACUUGAGGCAUGCAGGGGAGAACGGAAUUCCUGGUGUAGCGGUGAAAUGCGCAGAUAUCAGGAGGAACACCGGUGGCGAAGGCGGUUCUCUGGGCAUGUUCUGACGCUGAGGAGCGAAAGUGUGGGGAGCGAACAGG
Molecule: ribosomal RNA, 253 nt
Filed under: uncultured bacterium
Lineage: Bacteria
Description: partial 16S ribosomal RNA
Rfam family: Bacterial small subunit ribosomal RNA
Source: RNAcentral